AAGCACAAAGUUCUGUUGAAUUUUUAUUGAGUGUGAGGCCCACUUGAACUCAUCCUAAACAGAGUUCACUCUGUCUCUGCUGAAACCCAUCUGAAAAAGCCUGGAAAAGACUCUACUUAGGAUGACUUGCAUCUUGGGAUUCGUUCCCCUACAAAGAUCCUCUUAACACCCCAAUUACAAUACUAUACUCUACCAUCACCCCGUUUUUUGUAAUAAAAUAAAUUAAUAAUAAAGAAUUUGGAGUUGGAUGAUGGGGAAGUAAGAAGGAAGGAAGGAAGGAUCCCCUACACAAAUACAAAUAAUAUCCAAUUUCCAUUAUUAUUGUGGAUUUGGAUUUGGGGCGCUAAAAGCAGAAUUUGUUAUAAAAUCAGGAUUUUAGUAAUGAGAGAGCAACUCAUGUGGCGGCUUGUAGUAUAUGUACCAGGCAAAGGACGAUCAUUACUUUCUGUUGCUGCUUCUGGUCCUUCCUUCUUAACUGUACUUCCUUUGUAGACAUUUCAAGAGAGAGAGAGAGAGAGAAAGAAAAGGGGGAGGGAGGCACACACAUAUGAAAUGAUGAUGAUGAUGAUGAUGAACCCUAUUCUGUGAUGAGCAAGUAUAUAUGUGAUCUUUGUUGGUCCUAGCUAGGUUGGUUUUCAUGGUCGUACCACCAUCUAUGUUUGCUUAUUAACAGAACACCACCACUCUACAAAUAAAGCUCCUCCCCACCCACUACCACCUCAUACCAACCAAUUUCUACUCCUCCCUUAGGAUAGUGGAUCCAUCAAACUAUAUCCAGCUGGAAGUGGAAGAAGCAGAAUAUAUAAAGAUAGUUUUAGAAGAAGAAGCAUCGAUUGAUCGAUCGGAGAGGGGUUGGAUUUGUAUGUGUAUGUUAGGAUGGCUCGAGCAGUGUGCGAAGAGAAAUCGAGGGAGAUGGUGUCAUCAUCAGGUGGUUUCUGUUACUCGGGGACGACGAUGGAAGGGUUGGUGGGGGACCCUGCAGACAUGUUCAACAACCUCACCAGUGGCAUGGACAUGGUAGGGUUUUCGAAGAAUGUUGAGCAGCAGAGUGAUAGCAACAACCCUCACAUGUGGAAGGCUUUGUUUGGGAAACAAGGGCCUUCCAAUAGGAGCAUCAACAACGAUUCUUCUUCAGCCUCCUUCUACCAACAGCAACAGGUUGAUGAUGAUUCAUCGUGGCAGGAGAACAGGUUGGUGGUGGACGAUUCAUCUCUGAGGUGUGUGUUCCCAUGUGAAGGAAACGAGAGGCCAAGUCAAGGUCUCUCGCUCUCUCUAAGUUCAACUAAUCCCUCAUCCAUUGGCUUGCAAUCUUUUGAGCUCAGACAAACCACUCACCCUCACCCUCACCCUCAGUCUCAGCCUUAUUAUGCAUAUCAAAAUUUUGCUAAUAAUAAUAAUAAAGCUGCAGCUUCCUCCUCAUCUACUAGUGCUUAUCAAGGACACUUGAUGCUCAAGAACUCCAAGUACUUGGUUCCAGCACAGGACCUUCUCAACGAGUUUUGUAGCCUGGCCAUAAAGCACAAGUCCAACAACAACAACCACCAACACUGGGAAGAUCACGAUUCCUCAAAGAAGCCUUCUCCUACCUCUAUUGAAUUCGUCGAGCUGCAAAAGCGAAAGACCAAACUGCUUUCCAUGCUCGAAGAGGUUGACAGGAGAUACAAGAACUACCGGAUUCAGAUGAAGGCGGUGGUGUCUUCCUUUGAGGCGGUGGCUGGGAACGGUGCUGCCACGGUUUACACGGCUUUGGCACAGAAAGCCAUGUCUAAAUAUUUCAGGAACUUGAAGGAUGCCAUAAUGGGGCAGAUUCAGGCGACAAGAAAGGCCAUGGGAGAGAAAGAUCCAGUUGCACCAGGCACCACCAAGGGUGAAACCCCGAGGCUGAAGAUCAUUGACCAAGCUUUGAGGCAGCAAAGGGCAUUCCAGCAAAUGAGCAUGAUGGAAACUCAUCCAUGGAGACCUCAGCGUGGCCUUCCCGAGCGCUCCGUUUCUGUUCUUCGUGCUUGGCUCUUUGAGCAUUUCCUCCAUCCUUACCCAAGCGACGUUGAUAAACAUAUUCUAGCCCGCCAAACUGGCCUAUCAAGAAGCCAGGUUUCAAACUGGUUUAUCAACGCAAGGGUUCGUCUGUGGAAGCCAAUGGUGGAGGAAAUGUACAUGGAGGAAUUGAAGGAACAAGAAAACAUGAUGGCUUCUUCGGAGGGUGCUGAUGACCCGGACCUCCACCUGCCAUCAUCACGGUCGGAGGAUCAGAAGCCAAGCGUAGUGGUUGGAAUGGAGUCCGAUCAGUGUGCGUCAUCAUCCAUGCUCAACAACAACAUAAAAAACGACCCAAAGAGCAGCCAUAAUAAUCCGGAAGAAGAAUGCUUGGGGAGAGUGAUGGACACAUUUGGAUCGGUAGAGCUUGAUUUCUCUUCAUACACACAGCAGCAGCAGCAACAGCAGGGUUUCAAUGGGGUUUCUUUGACUCUAGGGUUACAACAGCACGGUGGAAGCGGGGUGAGCCUGGCGUUCCCUCCUCCUCCGGUGAGCAGUCAUCAUAGCUCGCUCUUCUACGCAACAACCAGGGAUCAGAUAAUGGACAGCUGUCCACCCUCAUCGUCAUCUAUAGUUCAUCACUACUCUCUUGUUGAUGGCGAACCACAAAAUCUUCCUUACAGGAAUCUCAUGGGUGCACAGUUGCUUCAUGACCUCGCUGGCUAAUUUAUUUAUUUAUUAAUAUUUAUUUUCAGAUUUCCAUGCACGUGCCUAACAUGCUCUUUCAAAUUCCUUUCUUAAAUAUAUAUAUACUACUACAUACAUAAAGCAACUCUUGAGGUUAGAAAUAUAUAUAAUUCCUAUAGUUAGUUCCUCUAUUUUUAAGUAUGUAAUGUAUCUAGAAAUCUACUUCUCUUCUCUCUUUAUAUUUUUUCAAUUAUGGCUUGGAUGCUGUGGUGUGGCGCAACCUUUGAUAGGGGCCGGCGGGCAGAGAAUGCAAGUGGG
Arachis ipaensis is the source of this 2979-nucleotide non-coding RNA. The record is from RefSeq and is a predicted model, not a curated record. Lineage: Eukaryota; Viridiplantae; Streptophyta; Magnoliopsida; Fabales; Fabaceae.